RNAcentral lists this long non-coding RNA (1402 nucleotides) under Anas platyrhynchos platyrhynchos (common mallard). Its description in RNAcentral is "lncRNA (ENSAPLG00000018516.1)". The record is from RNAcentral. Lineage: Eukaryota; Metazoa; Chordata; Aves; Anseriformes; Anatidae.
GGCAGGUUCAUUACCUUACAGUGAUAGGGCCCUGUAGGGUUUCUCUUAAUGAUGCAUAAGGGGGAGCAGGAGCCACAGCAUACAUAUUUGUAGAGGCUCGGACUCUGCAAGGCAAAUGGGGGUAAGAACAGCCAAAUGGAUCUUUCUGUGCUAAGUCAGCAACAGUUAUGCAGUAACACAGUGAUUUUAUUUAUUUUUUGUUUGUUUUGAAUGAUAAGUCCAAGGAAAGGAUGAGUUAGCUGAUAGCUCAGAGAUAUCACAUAACUAAGACAAUGGUUUCCAACUUUCCUGAAUGUUAAAUGGAGGGAAAACAGCUGAACUUGCCUCUGCUAUGCCUUGCUCUGACAUGCUGAAAUGGCAUAUCUGUCUUGCUUAGGAGUGAAGCUCAUUAAAGUUGUUCUUGCAAAAGGCUUUACCCAGUGUAAUUUAAACAAGUGGGGCAGUAAGUAAGGCUAAAGCUUGCUCUCUUUUUAGGUUCAAUUUUUAACAGAAUUCAGUUUCUGUUUCUUUUAAGUAUGUGACAUCCCAACAGCUGCCAUUAAGGCUUCAGCUCUGUCUCCUGCACCCUACCUUUACUUUCUGUUUAGGCUUUUGACCCAGCUCAAGAUUCAACUCUUACUUUUUUUGUCAAAUGCUAUAUUUUCUUCUUGCUUUCUCUUGCUCUGGUGCCUCUGGACAGUAGUAUAAUUCUGACACCAAUAGUUGUUAUAAAUAAUAUAGUUCCUGCUCUGGGGAAAGAAAACUGGACUAAGGGAGGCAUUAAGCACCGAAAAUAACAGGAAUGCAGCAGAUCUGUCACGCAAGACUGCCAUCCCUAGCUGUUAAUGGGCACAGAAGUUCAACUUGAUAUGUGUCUACUCAGAGCACUGCCUGAUUCUAUCUUCACAUAGCAGUUAUUACCCUCGGGGACAAAUUAUGUCUUGCAUUGUGCACUCUCAUCCCUUCACCGAAGACUUGACAGUCCAUCCACCUAGGAAAAAACAUAUACUGCACUUAGUUUCACAGGUUGAAGACUGCAGGAAGCCAUAUUUAUUCAGAAAGUUUUUGCAGUUAUCAUCGAUCUAUACAUAUAACAUUGUUCCCUCUCAUGUGGCUGUGAGUGGCAUGCCUGGUGUUGUCUGGGGACCUCAGGAUGUAACUGUGGCUGAUAUAUCAUUAAGGGGACUAGUAUGCAGCAGGAACAGCAGCCUAGAGAUGAAACUGUUUCCUUUUGACACCUGCAUCACAUCUGAGCAAAGGAGGAGGCCCUGCAGUCCUAAGGCUGGACGGUAGCCUGCUUGGCAGGCUCAGUGAGUGGUUGUGCCUCUUGCUGAUCUCCCUGGGCACUGAAGCACCAACUGAAGCACUGCAUCGAAUCACCACUCAAAAUAAAUAUCCAGGGUGGCCCUCCUGUAUUGACUAU